Long non-coding RNA from Gossypium arboreum, 2328 nucleotides. RefSeq lists it as uncharacterized. The transcript has 6 exons. The record is from RefSeq and is a predicted model, not a curated record. Lineage: Eukaryota; Viridiplantae; Streptophyta; Magnoliopsida; Malvales; Malvaceae.
UGGAUUUAGGAAACCUCCAGAUUAUGAAAUCCCUUCAAAUAUUGGAUAGUUAAAAGCCCUUUCAUUUCACCAAUGCUUCUCAAUCAAACCAUCUUCAGACCAAGUUCAACCCGAACCGUAACCACCCUAGAGUUCUAAAUUUGAGUAGCAAACCUACCUUGUUCUGGUUGUGCCGCCACUUCUACUUUCUUGCUUUCCCAUUUUGCUUAAUUUCAAGAUAUGGGAUGGAUAAAGCUAGAAAAGUAUUUCACUUGAUGAUCAAGAAGGGUUGUGCACCUGAUAUAUCUAGUUACAACAUCAUGAUCAAUGGAGAUCGCGAAGCUAGAAGGAUAGAAGAAACAAUGGAACUCUUUCACGAAAUAUUCCAAAAAGGACCAAUUGCAGAUACUCUCACAUACAACACUCUUACGCAAGACCUCUGAAGUAAGUGAGACUUUUGCUGACAGUAAUGUUGAAAAGCUAAAUUUUGAGUGAAAAAUAUUGGAAACUCUAUCUUGUCAGUAGCUGUAAUCGGAAACUCCACCUUUCUUCACUGGGAUGGCUGUUUCCUGCCAAUGGAGCCCACUGCACCAAUGAGAAUAUUGUGGGAAAAUCCUCAACACUUGAACACAAAAUUUGAAGCCAUUGGCAGGUCUCGACCGACAACCCCAGUAGAUUUUACUUUCUGGGUUAAGCUCAUUUUCUGUCAAAGCCCGUGGAGGAGGUUAAUUGUGGUGUUAUGCCAAAGUCUCACUCAACCACAUCUAGUAUAGCGGACAAUAAUCUUUCUUUAAAGCUGUGAACUGGAUUCCUAUUUGUGAUAUGUUCUGUAAAGUUUGACAGUUAAAAUUUUCUGUAGAAUUGUAUGUCGAAUUGGGAUGAUGUUAAUUUCAUUCCUCCUGGUUUUCUUGUAUGUGAUUUAUAUACUCGGGACCUUGUUUAUAUUAGAUGAACUUAGGUGUCAAGUAUUAUAGAUAAUGAAAUUAUGAAAUCGGUUUGUGCUGCUGAACUGUGAAGAGGCUAAUCUGAGCUCGUUUGCUUUGUUCAGGACAAUUACUAUGCUAAUGCAUAGGGAGUGGAACCAGGGAAACAACUGAUAUUCUGGGGAAGAAGGGUCUUUUACAGCAGAAAAAACUUUGGAUAAUUUAGACAGGGAUGCUUGUGGGGGAUUUUUUUUGUUUGAAUGUAUGGUUUGGCAAAAGAUUUUAAGGGUCAAGUUUUUUAGUCCUUAUAUUGUUGGCUUAAAUCGGACAAAUUCUGCUAUUAAUUGUUAAAAGGAUUAGUUAGCUAGUUAGUUAGCAUUUAACUAAUUAGUUUUUUACUGUUAGGAAGUGAGUUAAUUAUUAAGUAUAAGUACAGUACAUUAGGUGAAUAAGAAAUAUGAUUUUUCCAGUAUUUCAACAUGGUAUCAGAUUGCCAGUUAUUUCCUCUGAUUUACUGCUUCCUUUCGUUCUUUCUUGCCUCUGAUCAUCGUUUCUGGCUACUUCCUUUGGUUCUGUGAGUUUUUUUUUUCUUCUUCUCCAUUUUUGGUUUUGUUUUCUUUUGUGCAACAUGGUGAGUCUAAGCACAAUGCAGAUUGAUCUUUCUCAUCCCCUAUAUCUACAUCCCUCCGAUGCUCCAGGGACUUUAUUGGUUUCGCAUCAACUCACUGGAGUUGAAAAUUAUAAUAUAUGGAGUCGUUCAAUGCGUAUAGCUUUGCUUGCUAAGAACAAAGUUGGUUUUAUUGAUGAUUCUUGUUUGUUUGAAGAUACUUUAGUGGCUUUACAGCCACAAUGGGAACAUUGUAAUGCUUUGGUGUUAUCUUGGAUCUUGAAUUCUGUCAGCCAAGAGCUUUCUGCUGGGAUAGUUUUUGCAUCCAGUGCGGCCCUUGUGUAGUCUGAUUUGAAGGAGCGAUUUGAUAAGGUGGAUGGAUCUCGGAUUUAUUUCUUGCAUCGAGAGAUUGUUACACACGUUCAAGAUACAGGUUCAAUUUCUGUUUCUACUGGUAGUGUGAGUUCGAGCUCAUCUCAGGUACCUGUGUUUACACCUGAGCAGUAUCAAUAGAUUCUGGAGCUGUUGGGAAAAUGAUCUAGGGUGCAAGCAUCAGCUCAUAUGACAGGACUUUUGCAGUGGAAAGAUGAUGGGGAUUAGUAGAGUUAAAGGAAAGUCUGUACACAUUUCAUUCACCAACUUUAUCAUCACCGUAAAACUAGUCUAUUAAAUCCUCAUUUGUCAAUUCUAAUUUCAAUUCAUGUUUUUCAUCUAGUAUUUUACCACAUAUAUCCAAUUCUGGUGUUUUAUGGCAUGCUCGACUUGGCCAUUCUUCCUUAAGUACUAUGAAUAAAAUGUCUCAGUUUGAUUCUAAUCUCA